UACGGAGGGAGCUAGCGUUGUUCGGAAUUACUGGGCGUAAAGGGCUCGUAGGCGGCCAACUAAGUCAGACGUGAAAUCCCUCGGCUUAACCGGGGAACUGCGUCUGAUACUGGAUGGCUUGAGGUUGGGAGAGGGAUGCGGAAUUCCAGGUGUAGCGGUGAAAUGCGUAGAUAUCUGGAGGAACACCGGUGGCGAAGGCGGCAUCCUGGACCAAUUCUGACGCUGAGUGAGCGAAAGCCAGGGGAGCAAACGGG
This 254-nucleotide ribosomal RNA is filed under the name uncultured bacterium. RNAcentral's name for it is "partial 16S ribosomal RNA". It matches the Rfam family "Bacterial small subunit ribosomal RNA", at positions 524 to 776 of the family's 1533-position model. The record is from RNAcentral.